AAAUUGAAGAGUUUGAUCAUGGCUCAGAUUGAACGCUGGCGGCAGGCCUAACACAUGCAAGUCGAACGGUAACAGGAAGCAGCUUGCUGCUUCGCUGACGAGUGGCGGACGGGUGAGUAAUGUCUGGGAAACUGCCUGAUGGAGGGGGAUAACUACUGGAAACGGUGGCUAAUACCGCAUAACGUCGCAAGACCAAAGAGGGGGACCUUCGGGCCUCUUGCCAUCAGAUGUGCCCAGAUGGGAUUAGCUUGUUGGUGAGGUAACGGCUCACCAAGGCGACGAUCCCUAGCUGGUCUGAGAGGAUGACCAGCCACACUGGAACUGAGACACGGUCCAGACUCCUACGGGAGGCAGCAGUGGGGAAUAUUGCACAAUGGGCGCAAGCCUGAUGCAGCCAUGCCGCGUGUAUGAAGAAGGCCUUCGGGUUGUAAAGUACUUUCAGCGGGGAGGAA
RNAcentral lists this ribosomal RNA (452 nucleotides) under Salmonella enterica subsp. enterica serovar Infantis. RNAcentral describes it as "bacterial SSU rRNA". It matches the Rfam family "Bacterial small subunit ribosomal RNA", at positions 1 to 449 of the family's 1533-position model. RNAcentral also lists the same sequence under 4 other names. The record is from RNAcentral. Lineage: Bacteria; Pseudomonadati; Pseudomonadota; Gammaproteobacteria; Enterobacterales; Enterobacteriaceae.